GAUGAACGCUGGCGGCGUGCCUAAUACAUGCAAGUCGAGCGAACAGAUGAGAAGCUUGCUUCUCUGAUGUUAGCGGCGGACGGGUGAGUAACACGUGGGUAACCUACCUAUAAGACUGGGAUAACUCCGGGAAACCGGGGCUAAUACCGGAUAAUAUUUUGAACCGCAUGGUUCAAUAGUGAAAGACGGUUUCGGCUGUCACUUAUAGAUGGACCCGCGCCGUAUUAGCUAGUUGGUAAGGUAACGGCUUACCAAGGCGACGAUACGUAGCCGAACUGAGAGGGGGAUGGGCCAACCUGGCACUGAGACACGGUCCAGACUCCUACGGGAGGCAGAAGUAGGUAAUCUUCCGCAAUGGGCGAAAGCCUGACGGAGCAACGCCGCGGGAGUGAUGAAGGUCUUCGGAUCGUAAAACUCUGUUGUUAGGGAAGAACAAAUUUGUUAGUAACUGAACAAGUCUUGACGGUACCUAACCAGAAAGCCACGGCUAACUACGUGCCAGCCGCCGCAGUAA
Molecule: ribosomal RNA, 514 nt
Filed under: uncultured bacterium
Lineage: Bacteria
Description: partial 16S ribosomal RNA
Rfam family: Bacterial small subunit ribosomal RNA
Source: RNAcentral